This 87-nucleotide transfer RNA is filed under the name Spirochaetes bacterium ADurb.Bin001. RNAcentral describes it as "tRNA-Ser". It matches the Rfam family "tRNA". From Rfam's summary of the family: Transfer RNA (tRNA) molecules are approximately 80 nucleotides in length. Lineage: Bacteria; Pseudomonadati; Spirochaetota. RNAcentral also lists the same sequence under 1 other name. The record is from RNAcentral.
UGGAGCGGUGUCCGAGGGGUUUAAGGAGACGGUCUUGAAAACCGCUGUACCGCAAGGUACCGGGGGUUCGAAUCCCCCCUGCUCCGA